This 406-nucleotide ribosomal RNA is filed under the name uncultured bacterium. RNAcentral's name for it is "partial 16S ribosomal RNA". It matches the Rfam family "Bacterial small subunit ribosomal RNA", at positions 29 to 526 of the family's 1533-position model. The record is from RNAcentral.
AUUGAACGCUGGCGGCAGGCCUAACACAUGCAAGUCGAACGAGUGGCGGACGGGUGAGUAAUGUCUGGGAAACUGCCUGAUGGAGGGGGAAACCUACGGGAAAAGGUAGCUAAUACCGCAAAACAUCAAAUGGCCCAAGAUGGGUUUAGCUGGGUGGUGGGGUAACGGCUCCCCAAGGCGACGAUCCCUGUCUGGUCGGAGAGGAUGACCAGCAACACUGGAACUGAGACCCGGUCCAGACUCCUACGGGAGGCAGCAGUGGGGAAUAUUGCACAAUGGGCGCAAGCCUGAUGCAGCCAUGCCGCGUGUAUGAAGAAGGCCUUCGGGUUGUAAAGUACUUUCAGCGGGGAGGCGUUACCCGCAGAAGAAGCACCGGCUAACUCCGUGCCAGCAGCCGCGGUAAUAC